RNAcentral lists this ribosomal RNA (484 nucleotides) under uncultured bacterium. RNAcentral describes it as "partial 16S ribosomal RNA". It matches the Rfam family "Bacterial small subunit ribosomal RNA", at positions 28 to 523 of the family's 1533-position model. The record is from RNAcentral.
GACGAACGCUGGCGGCGUGCUUAACACAUGCAAGUCUAACGAUGAAGCUAGAGCUUGCUCUGGUGGAUUAGUGGCGAACGGGUGAGUAACACGUGAGUAACCUGCCCCAAACUCUGGGAUAACUGCUGGAAACGGUAGCUAAUACUGGAUACGACCAACGAAGGCAUCUUCUGUUGGUGGAAAGAAUUUCGGUUCGGGAUGGACUCGCGGCCUAUCAGCUUGUUGGUGAGGUAACGGCUCACCAAGGCGACGACGGGUAGCCGGCCUGAGAGGGUGAUCGGCCACACUGGGACUGAGACACGGCCCAGACUCCUACGGGAGGCAGCAGUGGGGAAUAUUGCACAAUGGGCGCAAGCCUGAUGCAGCAACGCCGCGUGAGGGACGACGGCCUUCGGGUUGUUAACCUCUUUUAGUAGGGAAGAAGCGAAAGUGACGGUACCUGCAGAAAAAGCACCGGCUAACUACGUGCCAGCCGCCGCCGUAA